GACGAACGCUGGCGGCGUGCUUAACACAUGCAAGUCGAACGGAAAGGCCCUGUUCUUGUGGGGUGCUCGAGUGGCGAACGGGUGAGUAACACGUGAGUAACCUGCCCUUUACUUUGGGAUAACUUCAGGAAACUGGGGCUAAUACCGGAUAGGAGCUCCUGCAGCAUGGUGGGGGUUGGAAAGUUUCGGCGUUUGGGGAUGGACUCGCGGCUUAUCAGCUUGUUGGUGGGGUAGUGGCUUACCAAGGCUUUGACGGGUAGCCGGCCUGAGAGGGUGACCGGCCACAAUGGGACUGAGGUACGGCCCAGACUCCUACGGGAGGCAGCAGUGGGAAAUAUUGCACAAUGGGCCGAAGCCUGAUGCAGCGACGCCGCGUGCGGGAUGACGGCCUGCGGGUUAUAAACCGCUUUCGCCUGUGACGAAGCGUGAGUGACGGUAAUGGGUAAAGAAGCACCGGCUAACUACGUG
Molecule: ribosomal RNA, 468 nt
Filed under: uncultured bacterium
Lineage: Bacteria
Description: partial 16S ribosomal RNA
Rfam family: Bacterial small subunit ribosomal RNA
Source: RNAcentral